Molecule: ribosomal RNA, 407 nt
Filed under: Pelobates cultripes (western spadefoot toad)
Lineage: Eukaryota; Metazoa; Chordata; Amphibia; Anura; Pelobatidae
Rfam family: Eukaryotic small subunit ribosomal RNA
Source: RNAcentral
GCGAUGACCGUGGCGGUGGAGGAGGAGGAUGAGGUAGCCAACACUGUUUUUAUAUAUAUAUAUAUAUAUAUAUAUAUAUAUAUAUAUUUUAAUUGGGGUAGUCCCCAAAAUAUUGGGACAUAUAAAAAAAGACAACUCUGUUCCGCAGAGUAGCUGUUGACAUUAUAGUUGCGCAGGCACUUUGUUGACUCUAGAGAACCUCAGGCCAAUCGCACAUGCCCGUGGCAGCGACUUUGCAUGUGAAUGUCAUCCAUAUCAACUUUCAAUGCCAGUUUCUGCACCUACCAUGGUGACCACAGGUAACGGGGAAUCAGGGUUCCAUUCCGUACAGGGACCCUGAGAAACAGCUACCACAUGCAAGGAAGGCAGCAGGUGUGCAAAUGUCCCACUCCCGACGCGGGAAGGUA